Molecule: ribosomal RNA, 717 nt
Filed under: Ammonia sp. genotype T6
Lineage: Eukaryota; Foraminifera; Rotaliida; Rotaliidae
Description: SSU rRNA
Rfam family: Eukaryotic small subunit ribosomal RNA (bases 3-477)
Source: RNAcentral
GUGGAGCAUGUGGCUUAAUUUAACUCAACGCGGGAAAUCUUACCGGGUCCGGACACACUGAGGAUUGACAGAUAUAUACCCGUGAGUACUUCGGUGCUCGCGGGUUGAAAGAUGCUAGUUCUUUCAUGAUUAUGUGAUAGGUGGUGCAUGGCCGUUCUUAGUUCGUGGAGUGAUCUGUCUGCUUAAUUGCGUAUCAAUAAUAGAGACCUAGUAUACGCGUAGACUCAUGCGGUAGUGACCCCCCUUCACAGGGCGCGUGUCGCACGUAUGUUAUACGCACAGGUCUCCGAUAGCAACGAACGUGACCGUACUCUAUUGUUGCAGCGACAAUACCUUUCAACGGGUAUUACCGCUGCUUAGCAAGAUUCGUCUUGCAUUAAACUAUAGAGACCGCUGUUUCUUCUUUAAACCAGAGGAAGGAUACGGCAAUAACAGGUCUGUGAUGCCCUCAGACGUUCCGGGCUGCACACGUGCUACAAUGAUCGUUGCACUGUGCAUCUAACCCAAUGUGCGCGGACGCCGCCGUGCGUAUAUACUUUAUUGUGUAUGCGUAUCGUGCGUGCGACCGCGCCGAACCUGCUUCGAAAGUAAACAUUUCCAGCGGGUAAUCCAUUAGAAGUAAUGACUCGCAUAGACCAUGGCACACUAUAUGUACCCGCGGGUCCUACCCGGCUCGCCUUUGUGUGAGUGCAGUGCGUAGCUCGUUGUUUGGUACGU